Salmo salar (Atlantic salmon) is the source of this 54-nucleotide non-coding RNA. The record is from Rfam. Lineage: Eukaryota; Metazoa; Chordata; Actinopteri; Salmoniformes; Salmonidae.
AUAUUAUUCUUAUGUAAGUCGCUCUGGAUAAGAGCGUCUGCUAAAUGACUUAAA